RNAcentral lists this transfer RNA (67 nucleotides) under Plethodon glutinosus (slimy salamander). RNAcentral describes it as "tRNA-Trp". It matches the Rfam family "tRNA". Rfam says of the family: Transfer RNA (tRNA) molecules are approximately 80 nucleotides in length. Their secondary structure includes four short double-helical elements and three loops (D, anti-codon, and T loops). Further hydrogen bonds mediate the characteristic L-shaped molecular structure. tRNAs have two regions of fundamental functional importance: the anti-codon, which is responsible for specific mRNA codon recognition, and the 3' end, to which the tRNAs corresponding amino acid is attached (by aminoacyl-tRNA synthetases). tRNAs cope with the degeneracy of the genetic code in two manners: having more than one tRNA (with a specific anti-codon) for a particular amino acid; and 'wobble' base-pairing, i.e. permitting non-standard base-pairing at the 3rd anti-codon position. Lineage: Eukaryota; Metazoa; Chordata; Amphibia; Caudata; Plethodontidae. The record is from RNAcentral. RNAcentral also lists the same sequence under 3 other names.
AGAAAUUUAAGCUAACAGACUAAAGGCCUUCAAAGCCUAAAGGAGAAGUUAAACCUUCUAAUUUCUG